Molecule: ribosomal RNA, 1503 nt
Filed under: Alvinella pompejana epibiont
Lineage: Bacteria; Pseudomonadati; Campylobacterota
Description: 16S ribosomal RNA
Rfam family: Bacterial small subunit ribosomal RNA
Source: RNAcentral
AGAGUUUGAUCAUGGCUCAGAGUGAACGCUGGCGGCGUGCUUAACACAUGCAAGUCGAACGGAAACAGGCCCUUCGGGGUGCUGUCGAGUGGCGCACGGGUGAGUAAUGUAUAGCUAACAUGCCCUUUGGAGGGGGAUAGCCACUGGAAACGGUGAUUAAUACCCCAUACUCCUCGAGAACUUAAGUUCUUGAGGGAAAUCUUUUUUGGCCAAAGGAUUGGGCUAUAUAGUAUCAGCUUGUUGGUGAGGUAACGGCUCACCAAGGCUAUGACGCUUAGCUGGUCUGAGAGGAUGACCAGCCACACUGGAACUGAGACACGGUCCAGACUCCUACGGGAGGCAGCAGUGGGGAAUAUUGGGCAAUGGGCGGAAGCCUGACCCAGCAACGCCGCGUGGAGGAAGAAACCCUUAGGGGCGUAAACUCCUUUUAUCAGGGAAGAUAAUGACGGUACCUGAUGAAUAAGCACCGGCUAACUCCGUGCCAGCAGNCGCGGUAAUACGGAGGGUGCAAGCGUUACUCGGAAUCACUGGGCGUAAAGAGCGCGCAGGCGGUUUGGCAAGCUAGAUGUGAAAGCCUGUAGCUCAACCACAGAACUGCAUCUAGAACUGCAGACUAGAGUCUGGGAGGGGUAGCUGGAAUUAGUGGUGUAGGGGUAAAAUCCGUAGAGAUCACUAGGAAUACCGAAAGCGAAGGCGAGCUACUGGAACAGUACUGACGCUGAGGCGCGAAAGCGUGGGGAGCAAACAGGAUUAGAUACCCUGGUAGUCCACGCCCUAAACGAUGGAUGUUAGUCGUUGGAGAGCAAGUCUCUCCAGUGAUGCAGCUAACGCAUUAAACAUCCCGCCAGGGGAGUACGGUCGCAAGACUAAAACUCAAAGGAAUAGACGGGGACCCGCACAAGUGGUGGAGCAUGUGGUUUAAUUCGAAGAUACGCGAAGAACCUUACCCAGUCUUGACAUCGAUGGAACCUGCUAGAGAUAGCGGGGUGCCCCUUUUGGGGAACCUGAAGACAGGUGCUGCACGGCUGUCGUCAGCUCGUGUCGUGAGAUGUUGGGUUAAGUCCCGCAACGAGCGCAACCCUCAUCCUUAGUUGCUAACAGGUUUGGCUGAGAACUCUAAGGAGACUGCCCGGGCAACCGGGAGGAAGGUGGGGAUGACGUCAAGUCAUCAUGGCCCUUACGGCUGGGGCGACACACGUGCUACAAUGGGCAGGACAGAGAGAAGCAAUACCGCGAGGUGGAGCAAAGCUGUUAAACCUGCUCUCAGUUCGGAUUGUAGUCUGCAACUCGACUACAUGAAGUUGGAAUCACUAGUAAUCGCGAAUCAGCCAUGUCGCGGUGAAUACGUUCCCGGGUCUUGUACUCACCNCCCGUCACACCAUGGGAGUUGAGUUCACCCGAAGCGGGGAUGCUAAAAUAGCUACCCUCCACGGUGGGCUCAGCGACUGGGGUGAAGUCGUAACAAGGUAACCGUAGGAGAACCUGUGGUUGGAUCACCUCCUU